This 465-nucleotide ribosomal RNA is filed under the name uncultured bacterium. RNAcentral's name for it is "partial 16S ribosomal RNA". It matches the Rfam family "Bacterial small subunit ribosomal RNA", at positions 338 to 795 of the family's 1533-position model. The record is from RNAcentral.
CCUACGUGUGGCAGCAGUGGGGAAUAUUGCGCAAUGGGCGAAAGCCUGACGCAGCGACGCCGCGUGAGGGAUGAAGGUCUUCGGAUCGUAAACCUCUGUCAGCAGGGCAGAACGGUCACUGUGCUAAUCAGCAGUGAAUUGACGGUACCUGCAAAGGCAGCACCGGCUAACUCCGUGCCAGCAGCCGCCGUACUACGGAGGGUGCGAGCGUUAAUCGGAAGUACUGGGGGUAAAGCGCUCGUAGGCGGUAUGUCAAGUCAAUGGUGAAAUCCCCGCGCACAACGUGGGAACUGCCUUGGAAACUGGCAAACUGGAGUGUGUGAGAGGAUAGUGGAAUUCCAGGUGUAGGAGUGAAAGCAGUAGAUAUCUGGAGGAACAUCAGUGGCGAAGGCGACUAUCUGGCACAUAACUGACGCUGAGGAGCGAAAGCGUGGGUAGCAAACAGGAUUAGAUACCCCAGUAGUC